RNAcentral lists this ribosomal RNA (469 nucleotides) under uncultured bacterium. RNAcentral describes it as "partial 16S ribosomal RNA". It matches the Rfam family "Bacterial small subunit ribosomal RNA", at positions 27 to 507 of the family's 1533-position model. The record is from RNAcentral.
GGACGAACGCUGGCGGCGUGCUUAACCCAUGCAAGUCGAACGGAAAGGCCCUGCUUUUGUGGGGUGCUCGAGUGGCGAACGGGUGAGUAACACGUGAGUAACCUGCCCUUGACUUUGGGAUAACUUCAGGAAACUGGGGCUAAUACCGGAUAGGAGCUCCUGCUGCAUGGUGGGGGGUGGAAAGUUUCGGCGGUUGGGGAUGGACUCGCGGCUUAUCAGCUUGUUGGUGGGGUAGUGGCUUACCAAGGCUUUGACGGGUAGCCGGCCUGAGAGGGUGACCGGCCACAUUGGGACUGAGAUACGGCCCAGACUCCUACGGGAGGCAGCAGUGGGGAAUAUUGCACAAUGGGCGGAAGCCUGAUGCAGCAACGCCGCGUGCGGGAUGACGGCCUUCGGGUUGUAAACCGCUUUCGCCUGUGACGAAGCGUGAGUGACGGUAAUGGGUAAAGAAGCACCGGCUAACUACGUG